This 816-nucleotide small RNA is filed under the name Pan troglodytes (chimpanzee). Its description in RNAcentral is "retained intron". Lineage: Eukaryota; Metazoa; Chordata; Mammalia; Primates; Hominidae. The record is from RNAcentral.
AUCAUUCAAAGAUAAAUACAUCAAAAGGCAGUAACUGAGGACUAACUUGAAAAGUUUGAAAGGUGAAAAAAUAGUUCUCUACAUAUUUUCUGUUUUCAGGAGAUGAGUAUGAUGUAUGUGCCAUUUGUUUGGAUGAGUAUGAAGAUGGAGACAAACUCAGAAUCCUUCCCUGUUCCCAUGCUUAUCACUGCAAGUGUGUAGACCCUUGGCUAACUAAAACCAAAAAAACCUGUCCAGUGUGCAAGCAAAAAGUUGUUCCUUCUCAAGGCGAUUCAGACUCUGACACAGACAGUAGUCAAGAAGAAAAUGAAGUGACAGAACAUACCCCUUUACUGAGACCUUUAGCUUCUGUCAGUGCCCAGUCAUUUGGGGCUUUAUCGGAAUCCCGCUCACAUCAGAACAUGACAGAAUCUUCAGACUAUGAGGAAGACGACAAUGAAGAUACUGACAGUAGUGAUGCAGAAAAUGAAAUUAAUGAACAUGAUGUCGUGGUCCAGUUGCAGCCUAAUGGUGAACGGGAUUACAACAUAGCAAAUACUGUUUGACUUUCAGAAGAUGAUUGGUUUAUUUCCCUUUAAAAUGUUUAGGUAUAUACUGUAAUUUGAUUUUUUGCUCCCUUCAAAGAUUUCUGUAGAAAUAACUUAUUUUUUAGUAUUCUACAGUUUAAUCAAAUUACUGAAACAGGACUUUUGAUCUGGUAUUUAUCUGCAAGAAUAUACUUCAUUCACUAAUAAUAGACUGGUGCUGUAACUCAAGCAUCAAUUCAGCUCUUCUUUUGGAAUGAAAGUAUAGCCAAAACAUAAAAAAAAAAAAAAA